UUUGAUCCUGGCUCAGGACGAACGCUGGCGGCGCGCCUAACACAUGCAAGUCGAACGAGUGAGAGAGAGCUUGCUUUCUCGAGCGAGUGGCGAACGGGUGAGUAACGCGUGAGGAACCUGCCUCAAAGAGGGGGACAACAGUUGGAAACGACUGCUAAUACCGCAUAAGCCCACGACCCGGCAUCGGGUAGAGGGAAAAGGAGCAAUCCGCUUUGAGAUGGCCUCGCGUCCGAUUAGCUAGUUGGUGAGGUAACGGCCCACCAAGGCGACGAUCGGUAGCCGGACUGAGAGGUUGAACGGCCACAUUGGGACUGAGACACGGCCCAGACUCCUACGGGAGGCAGCAGUGGGGAAUAUUGCACAAUGGGGGAAACCCUGAUGCAGCGACGCCGCGUGGAGGAAGAAGGUCUUCGGAUUGUAAACUCCUGUUGUUGAGGAAGAUAAUGACGGUACUCAACAAGGAAGUGACGGCUAACUACGUGCCAGCAGCCGCGGUAAAACGUAGGUCACAAGCGUUGUCCGGAAUUACUGGGUGUAAAGGGAGCGCAGGCGGGAAGACAAGUUGGAAGUGAAAUCCAUGGGCUCAACCCAUGAACUGCUUUCAAAACUGUUUUUCUUGAGUAGUGCAGAGGUAGGCGGAAUUCCCGGUGUAGCGGUGGAAUGCGUAGAUAUCGGAAGGAACACCAGUGGCGAAGGCGGCCUACUGGGCACCAACUGACGCUGAGCUCGAAGUGUGGUAGCAAACAGGAUAGUACCUGUAGUCACACUGUAACAUGAUACUAGUGUGGAGAUGACCCU
RNAcentral lists this ribosomal RNA (798 nucleotides) under uncultured Faecalibacterium sp. RNAcentral describes it as "bacterial SSU rRNA". It matches the Rfam family "Bacterial small subunit ribosomal RNA", at positions 12 to 830 of the family's 1533-position model. Lineage: Bacteria; Bacillati; Bacillota; Clostridia; Eubacteriales; Oscillospiraceae. The record is from RNAcentral.